AUGAGCACAGAUACACCCUCUGAUCCAAUUGCUUCAUCUACUCAAUCUGAUAUUAUUAGCAACCAUAUUCAGGGUGAAACAGCCGAACCUCCACCUACAUUGGAACAAACUAAUGAUGAAGAAAAUGCUAAUAAGAAAAGGAAAGUUGGAUAUGCUUCAACAUGGGCAACAUCCAAUGAUCCUAAUGUUGCAACUCGAGAUUCACGUAAUAGAAAACCUAUUAAACAUAGAUCUUGGACUUCAGAACAUUUUACAAAAAAUAGGAUCAAGAGGUAA
Molecule: non-coding RNA, 276 nt
Organism: Vicia faba (fava bean)
Lineage: Eukaryota; Viridiplantae; Streptophyta; Magnoliopsida; Fabales; Fabaceae
Source: the annotation of a GenBank genome assembly